Molecule: long non-coding RNA, 1622 nt
Organism: Alligator sinensis (Chinese alligator)
Lineage: Eukaryota; Metazoa; Chordata; Crocodylia; Alligatoridae
Exons: 5
Source: RefSeq, a predicted model, not a curated record
UCUGUUUUCUGUGAAAUUUUUUGAAACUAAGCAGAUGUCAUACUUCACUUUUUUAUUAAUCAGAAUAUGUAGUCAGUAGAAGACUUUAUUUUUAAUCUCAUUACUUUAGUUAAUGCUGCAAGGACACAUUGAAAGCAUACCUCAAGAAAAGAGAUGUUGAAAUCAAGAGCUGUCGACUGACCCCAGUGGUGCUGCAACCUCAGCAAAAUGGCAUCCCAUUUCAAGGUAAAAAUAUGAAUUCUUAAAUCCUACAUAAAUGAUCUAAGUGACAAGAAUAGAAUAUUUAUUCAAACAAUUGAAGAUUCUGAAAGAGAAGCCAAUGACAAUUUUUCAUCUGAAGGUUAGACUACUGGGAGCUGACCAGCUAAUUAAUAUGAAUUAUGCCAAGCCUGUAAUGAUGUAGAAGAAAUCAAGCUUCGCAAGGCUGAGACUGCUGCCUUGGGGCAAUUUCAGAAACUGGAUGAAAUCAUGAAGAUUUGUGCUAAACAGCUAAAAUUGCAACUUCCAGCCAAGGAUAAUGUGGUUCACUGCAUUAAGGAUGAUCUUAAUAAAACCAUGUGUGGCAGACAUGUUAGUAGAUAAGGUUUUAUUCAUGUCUUGCUUCCCCACUUACUCCAUUGAGAUCAGUUGGUUUAGAUGAAGGGAAACUAACUUCACCAACUUCCUAUCCUGAUCCUUCUUUCCUGUUGAAAAGAGGAUGUUCCCUUAGGAUGGAAAGCAUAUGAUGAACCAGAGAUGAACUAUACAGACCAUUUCAGGUCAGCAUAUGAUGAACCAUAUGAUGAACCAGAGGUGAACCAUACAGACCGUUUCAGGUCAAAUUCUUGUUUCUUUUCAUUGACAUAGAAAAAACAGGUUUGAACCAUCAAACCUUAAGCUUUACUACUGAAUUAAUGUACAUUAUUCAAAGCCUGUUUGAUUGGUAGUGGGAAACAGUAAAAAUAUCAGGCUGUUAAGUCAAUAGGGCUGAGUAAUUUGUGUCUGUGAUUUUGAUUUUAUAUCAUCCGUUAAUCAGAAAUUAUAAACUGAAUCUUGAUUUCUUCUUAAAACUGGUAUUUGGGCGGAGGGGGAACACUCCAAGCAACUUUGUAAAGUUUAUUCUUCUACUUAUGUAUGUUUCUGCUUGUUACCUCUGCUAUAUGUAAGGGAUAUUGUUACUGAUCAGAGAGCAAGGAAGGGAAAUGUACAUUAAAAAAACCCAUCGCUUAUAAAUAGUGUUCAUUUAUUCAUUUAUAAAUAGUGUCCCUUUUUCCCCCUCAGUCUGCUUGCCGUCUUCCUGCAUGUAUGGUGGUUUGGAGUAAAAAUGUUACUGUGUUUUCCUAUCUUCUUUUCAUAUGUUUCUUUAUUUUAUCCUAGAAACAUCUAGACUGAGGGAAGUGGUAAGCUGCUGUCUUUAUACUUGCCUUGAUUGUCAAGGCAUUUUAGGUAUUUUUUUUAAACUUUGUUUCCUGGUAGUUGUGGCAAUAAGAGUUUAGAGAGUCUCCUGUAGGAUGGUGGUGGAGGAGGAAUAUAACAAAUACAAUUAGUGGUAAUUUUCCUAUCUUAAAAUUUUCUUCAUGCUGAAAGGCAAAUAAAUCUUUUCACACUGCCACAUCAACAAUGUUUAAGUAGGGGUAAAAAGC